This 254-nucleotide ribosomal RNA is filed under the name uncultured bacterium. RNAcentral's name for it is "partial 16S ribosomal RNA". It matches the Rfam family "Bacterial small subunit ribosomal RNA", at positions 524 to 776 of the family's 1533-position model. The record is from RNAcentral.
UACGUAGGGUGCGAGCGUUGUCCGGAAUUAUUGGGCGUAAAGAGCUCGUAGGCGGUGUGUCACGUCGGCCGUGAAAACCUGCAGCUUAACUGUGGGCGUGCGGUCGAUACGGGCAUCACUGGAGUUCGGCAGGGGAGACUGGAAUUCCUGGUGUAGCGGUGAAAUGCGCAGAUAUCAGGAGGAACACCGGUGGCGAAGGCGGGUCUCUGGGCCGAUACUGACGCUGAGGCGCGAAAGGUAGGGGAGCAAACAGG